This 413-nucleotide ribosomal RNA is filed under the name uncultured bacterium. RNAcentral's name for it is "bacterial SSU rRNA". It matches the Rfam family "Bacterial small subunit ribosomal RNA", at positions 920 to 1333 of the family's 1533-position model. The record is from RNAcentral.
GACCCCGCACAAGCGGUGGAGCAUGUGGUUUAAUUCGAUGAUACGCGAGGAACCUUACCAGGGCUUAAAUGUAGUGGGACAGGUCUAGAGAUAGACCCUUCUUCGGACUCAUUACAAGGUGCUGCAUGGUUGUCGUCAGCUCGUGCCGUGAGGUGUCAGGUUAAGUCCUAUAACGAGCGCAACCCCUAUCGUUAGUUGCCAGCGAGUAAUGUCGGGAACUCUAACGAAACUGCCAGUGCAAACUGUGAGGAAGGUGGGGAUGACGUCAAAUCAUCACGGCCCUUACGUCCUGGGCUACACACGUGCUACAAUGGCCGGUACAGAGAGCAGCCACUUCGCAAGAAGGAGCGAAUCUUCAAAGCCGGUCUCAGUUCGGAUCGGAGUCUGCAACUCGACUCCGUGAAGCUGGAAUC